GACGAACCGUCCAAACGUUAUUCGGAAUUACUGGGCUUAAAGGGUGCGUAGGCGGUGCGGAAAGUUGGGUGUGAAAUCCCUCGGCUCAACCGAGGAAUUGCGCUCAAAACUACCGUGCUUGAGGGAGAUAGGGGUGAGCGGAACUUGGGGUGGAGCGGUGAAAUGCAUUGAUAUCCCAAGGAACGCCAGUGGCGAAAGCGGCUCACUGGAUCUCUUCUGACGCUGAGGCACGAAAGCUAGGGUAGCGAACGGG
RNAcentral lists this unclassified non-coding RNA (253 nucleotides) under uncultured Pirellulaceae bacterium. RNAcentral's name for it is "contains 16S-23S intergenic spacer region". It matches the Rfam family "Bacterial small subunit ribosomal RNA", at positions 524 to 776 of the family's 1533-position model. The record is from RNAcentral. Lineage: Bacteria; Pseudomonadati; Planctomycetota; Planctomycetia; Pirellulales; Pirellulaceae.